This 465-nucleotide ribosomal RNA is filed under the name uncultured bacterium. Its description in RNAcentral is "partial 16S ribosomal RNA". It matches the Rfam family "Bacterial small subunit ribosomal RNA", at positions 28 to 507 of the family's 1533-position model. The record is from RNAcentral.
GACGAACGCUGGCGGCGUGCUUAACACAUGCAAGUCGAACGGAAAGGCCCCUUUGGGGGUACUCGGGUGGCGAACGGGUGAGUAACACGUGAGUAACCUGCCCUUGACUUCGGGAUAACUUCAGGAUACUGGGGCUAAUACCGGAUAGGAAUCCUUGCUGCAUGGUGGGGGUUGGAAAGCUUCGGCGGUUUUGGAUGGACUCGCGGCGUAUCAGCUUGUUGGUGGGGUAGUGGCUUACCAAGGCCUUGACGGGUAGCCGGCCUGAGAGGGCGACCGGCCACAUUGGGACUGAGAUACGGCACAGACUCCUACGGGAGGCAGCAGUGGGGAAUAUUGCACAAUGGGCGGCGGCCUGAUGCAGCAACGCCGCGUGCGGGAUGACGGCCUUCGGGUGGUGAACCGCUUUCAGCAGGGGCGAAGCUUGUGGUGACGGUACCUGCAGAAGAAGCACCGGCUAACUACGUG